ACGCUCGACACCUACGGGAGGCAGCAGUGGGGAAUAUUGCACAAUGGGGGAAACCCUGAUGCAGCGACGCCGCGUGAGUGAAGAAGUAUUUCGGUAUGUAAAGCUCUAUCAGCAGGGAAGAGAAUGACGGUACCUGACUAAGAAGCCCCGGCUAACUACGUGCCAACAGCCGCGGUAAUCUGAGCGGCUGGCAAGGC
RNAcentral lists this ribosomal RNA (197 nucleotides) under uncultured bacterium. RNAcentral describes it as "partial 16S ribosomal RNA". It matches the Rfam family "Bacterial small subunit ribosomal RNA", at positions 328 to 539 of the family's 1533-position model. The record is from RNAcentral.